CCUACGGGUGGCAGCAGUGAGGAAUAUUGGUCAAUGGGCGAGAGCCUGAACCAGCCAAGUCGCGUGAGGGAGUACUGCCCUAUGGGUUGUAAACCUCUUUUGUCGGGGAGCAAAAGCCGGACGUGUCCGGCUGUGAGAGUACCCGAAGAAAAAGCAUCGGCUAACUCCGUGCCAGCAGCCGCGGUAAUACGGAGGAUGCGAGCGUUAUCCGGAUUUAUUGGGUUUACAGGGUGCGCAGGCGGAUUUUUAAGUCAGCGGUAAAAUCGUGGGGCUCAACCCCAUCCAGCCGUUGAAACUGGGGAUCUAGAGUGUGCGAGAGGUAUGCGGAAUGCGUGGUGUAGCGGUGAAAUGCAUAGAUAUCACGCAGAACCCCGAUUGCGAAGGCAGCAUACCGGUGCACAACUGACGCUCAGGCACGAAAGCGUGGGUAUCGAACAGGAUUAGAUACCCCUGUAGUC
Molecule: ribosomal RNA, 458 nt
Filed under: uncultured bacterium
Lineage: Bacteria
Description: partial 16S ribosomal RNA
Rfam family: Bacterial small subunit ribosomal RNA
Source: RNAcentral